UGAUGGGAAUGGCAGCAGAGGAAUGUGCCAGCCUUGAUAACUUGGCUUCUGGGCACAGCAUAUCCAUCUGAAACUGAGAGAUUACAGGGGAAAAGUGUGGGAAAAAUACCAUUAUUGCCUUCUGAUGUUUGCGGAGUUACAACAUUUCUUAAUAUCAAGAAGAAUCCAACAUUUCUUAAUAUCAAGAAGGAGGUUUAAUGCAAAGGAAACAUAAAGUAAAAUAAAAAAGAAGUGCAGAGGAUGAAAAGAGAAGCUCUUGUGAUCCAGAGUUCAGCUUUCCCAGUCUGAGCAGUUGUGCUGUGUGGUGUCCAAUAUAAAAUCAGGUGCACCCAGAGGCUCUGUCCCAGGGCAAUGCUCAGAAAAAGGAGAUGUGCAGAAGGGACCGUAA
This is a long non-coding RNA of Neopelma chrysocephalum (saffron-crested tyrant-manakin), 388 nucleotides long. RefSeq lists it as uncharacterized. Lineage: Eukaryota; Metazoa; Chordata; Aves; Passeriformes; Pipridae. The record is from RefSeq and is a predicted model, not a curated record. The transcript is spliced from 3 exons.